CCUACGGGUGGCAGCAGUGAGGAAUAUUGGUCAAUGGGCGCGAGCCUGAACCAGCGAAGUAGCGUGAGGGAUGACUGCCCUACGGGCUGUAAACUUCUUUUAUAAGGGAGUAAAGUGUGGGACGUGUCCUAUUUUGUAUGUACCUUAUGAAUAAGGAUCGGCUAACUCCGUGCCAGCAGCCGCGGUAAUACGGAGGAGCCGAGCGUUAUCCGGAUUUAUUGGGUUUAAGGGGUGCGUAGGCGGCCUUUUAAGUCAGGGGUGAAAGUCUGUGGCUCAACCAUAGAAUUGCCGUUGAAACUGGGGGGCUGGAGUAUGUGUGAGGCAGGCGGAAUGCGUGGUGUAGCGGUGAAAUGCUUAGAUAUCAGGCAGAACCCCGAUUGCGAAGGCAGCCUGCCAAGCCAUGACUGACGCUGAUGCACGAAAGCGUGGGGAUCAAACAGGAUUAGAUACCCCUGUAGUC
This 460-nucleotide ribosomal RNA is filed under the name uncultured bacterium. RNAcentral's name for it is "partial 16S ribosomal RNA". It matches the Rfam family "Bacterial small subunit ribosomal RNA", at positions 338 to 795 of the family's 1533-position model. The record is from RNAcentral.